GCGGUUGUAGCUCAAUCGGCGAGAGCGUCGGCUUGCCAUGUCGAAGUUUGGGAGUGCAAGCGCGGCCUUCGGCCUACGAAUCUCCCCAAUCGCA
Molecule: transfer RNA, 94 nt
Filed under: Gloeobacter violaceus SpSt-379
Lineage: Bacteria; Bacillati; Cyanobacteriota; Cyanophyceae; Gloeobacterales; Gloeobacteraceae
Description: tRNA-Gly
Rfam family: tRNA
About the family: Transfer RNA (tRNA) molecules are approximately 80 nucleotides in length. Their secondary structure includes four short double-helical elements and three loops (D, anti-codon, and T loops).
Source: RNAcentral